This 253-nucleotide ribosomal RNA is filed under the name uncultured bacterium. Its description in RNAcentral is "partial 16S ribosomal RNA". It matches the Rfam family "Bacterial small subunit ribosomal RNA", at positions 524 to 776 of the family's 1533-position model. The record is from RNAcentral.
UACGUAGGGUGCAAGCGUUGUCCGGAAUUAUUGGGCGUAAAGAGCUCGUAGGCGGUUUGUCGCGUCGGCUGUGAAAGCCCGGAGCUCAACUCCGGGUCUGCAGUCGAUACGGGCAGACUAGAGUGCGGUAGGGGAGACUGGAAUUCCUGGUGUAGCGGUGAAAUGCGCAGAUAUCAGGAGGAACACCGGUGGCGAAGGCGGGUCUCUGGGCCGUAACUGACGCUGAGGAGCGAAAGCGUGGGGAGCGAACAGG